RNAcentral lists this ribosomal RNA (1436 nucleotides) under uncultured organism. RNAcentral's name for it is "SSU rRNA". It matches the Rfam family "Bacterial small subunit ribosomal RNA". The record is from RNAcentral.
GUUACAGGCUUAACACAUGCAAGUCGAGGGGCAGCAUGGUCUUAGCUUGCUAAGGCCGAUGGCGACCGGCGCACGGGUGAGUAACACGUAUCCAACCUGCCGUCUACUCUUGGACAGCCUUCUGAAAGGAAGAUUAAUACAAGAUGGCAUCAUGAGUCCGCAUGUUCACAUGAUUAAAGGUAUUCCGGUAGACGAUGGGGAUGCGUUCCAUUAGAUAGUAGGCGGGGUAACGGCCCACCUAGUCUUCGAUGGAUAGGGGUUCUGAGAGGAAGGUCCCCCACAUUGGAACUGAGACACGGUCCAAACUCCUACGGGAGGCAGCAGUGAGGAAUAUUGGUCAAUGGGCGAGAGCCUGAACCAGCCAAGUAGCGUGAAGGAUGACUGCCCUAUGGGUUGUAAACUUCUUUUAUAAAGGAAUAAAGUCGGGUAUGGAUACCCGUUUGCAUGUACUUUAUGAAUAAGGAUCGGCUAACUCCGUGCCAGCAGCCGCGGUAAUACGGAGGAUCCGAGCGUUAUCCGGAUUUAUUGGGUUUAAAGGGAGCGUAGAUGGAUGUUUAAGUCAGUUGUGAAAGUUUGCGGCUCAACCGUAAAAUUGCAGUUGAUACUGGAUAUCUUGAGUGCAGUUGAGGCAGGCGGAAUUCGUGGUGUAGCGGUGAAAUGCUUAGAUAUCACGAAGAACUCCGAUUGCGAAGGCAGCCUGCUAAGCUGCAACUGACAUUGAGGCUCGAAAGUGUGGGUAUCAAACAGGAUUAGAUACCCUGGUAGUCCACACGGUAAACGAUGAAUACUCGCUGUUUGCGAUAUACUGCAAGCGGCCAAGCGAAAGCGUUAAGUAUUCCACCUGGGGAGUACGCCGGCAACGGUGAAACUCAAAGGAAUUGACGGGGGCCCGCACAAGCGGAGGAACAUGUGGUUUAAUUCGAUGAUACGCGAGGAACCUUACCCGGGCUUAAAUUGCAGAUGAAUUACGGUGAAAGCCGUAAGCCGCAAGGCAUCUGUGAAGGUGCUGCAUGGUUGUCGUCAGCUCGUGCCGUGAGGUGUCGGCUUAAGUGCCAUAACGAGCGCAACCCUUGUUGUCAGUUACUAACAGGUUCCGCUGAGGACUCUGACAAGACUGCCAUCGUAAGAUGUGAGGAAGGUGGGGAUGACGUCAAAUCAGCACGGCCCUUACGUCCGGGGCUACACACGUGUUACAAUGGGGGGUACAGAGGGCCGCUACCACGCGAGUGGAUGCCAAUCCCCAAAACCUCUCUCAGUUCGGACUGGAGUCUGCAACCCGACUCCACGAAGCUGGAUUCGCUAGUAAUCGCGCAUCAGCCACGGCGCGGUGAAUACGUUCCCGGGCCUUGCACACACCGCCCGUCAAGCCAUGGGAGCCGGGGGUACCUGAAGUGCGUAACCGCGAGGAGCGCCCUAGGGUAAAACUGGUGACUGGG